ACUGCUCAGUAACACGUGGACAACCUACCCUGAGGAGGGGGAUAACCCCGGGAAACUGGGGAUAAUACCCCAUAGACUAUGGAUGCUGGAAUGCUCUGUAGUUAAAAGGCCCGCCGCCUCAGGAUGGGUCUGCGGCCGAUUAGGUUGUUGUUGGGGUAACGGCCCAACAAGCCUGUAAUCGGUACGGGUUGUGGGAGCAAGAGCCCGGAGAUGGAUUCUGAGACACGAAUCCAGGCCCUACGGGGCGCAGCAGGCGCGAAGACUUUACAAUGCGAGCAAUCGUGAUAAGGGAACUCCGAGUGCCCGUAAAAUCGGGCUGUCCGCCAGUGUAGAUAACUGGUGAAGAAAGGGCCGGGCAAGACCGGUGCCAGCCGCCGCGGUAAUACCGGCGGCUCGAGUGGUGGCCACUAUUACUGGGCUUAAAGCGCUCGUAGCUGGUCUGUUAAGUCUCUGGGGAAAUCUUCCGGCUUAACCGGAGGGCGUCUCAGGGAUACUGACAGACUAGGGACCGGAAGAGGUGAGAGGUACUCCAGGGGUAGGAGUGAAAUCCUGUAAUCCUUGGGGGACCACCUGUGGCGAAGGCGUCCCACCAGGACGGCUCCGACAGUGAGGAACGAAAGCUGGGGGAGCAAACCGGAUUAGAUACCCGGGUAGUCCCAGCUGUAAACGAUGCGCGUUAGGUGUAUCGGUGACCACGAGUCACCGAGGUGCCGAAGAGAAAUCGUGAAACGCGCCGCCUGGGAAGUACGGUCGCAAGGCUGAAACUUAAAGGAAUUGGCGGGGGAGCAC
RNAcentral lists this ribosomal RNA (789 nucleotides) under uncultured archaeon. Its description in RNAcentral is "bacterial SSU rRNA". It matches the Rfam family "Archaeal small subunit ribosomal RNA", at positions 85 to 879 of the family's 1478-position model. The record is from RNAcentral.